GGGGCUGAUUCAGGAUUCGACAGGAUCACGAAGGCUUGUGGAGCAUGCCGAGGUGCGGUUGGCCUCGUAAAAAAGCCGCAAAAAAAUAGUCGCAAACGACGAAAACUACGCACUAGCAGCUUAAUAACCUGCUCAGAGCCUACCCUCCCUAGCCUCCGCUCGUAGGACGGGGAAUCAGGGUAGUCAAACCCAAACGAGAUCGCGUGGAUGAUUUGACCUGGGAUCUGAAGCGUUAAACCUGAUUCAGGUAUGUCUUUGUGUGGCGUGUCUUUCCGCAGCACACUGACGAGAACAAAGAUAGACUAAGCAUGUAGCGCCAUUAGUUAGACUGGUUUUGGACGCGGGUUCAACUCCCGCCAGCUCCACCA
RNAcentral lists this transfer-messenger RNA (368 nucleotides) under Photobacterium atrarenae. Its description in RNAcentral is "Standard tmRNA". It matches the Rfam family "transfer-messenger RNA". Rfam says of the family: Bacterial tmRNA, also known as 10Sa RNA or SsrA, is named for its dual tRNA and mRNA-like properties. Its role is to liberate the mRNA from a stalled ribosome. To accomplish this part of the tmRNA is used as a reading frame that ends in a translation stop signal. The record is from RNAcentral. Lineage: Bacteria; Pseudomonadati; Pseudomonadota; Gammaproteobacteria; Vibrionales; Vibrionaceae.